Molecule: transfer-messenger RNA, 234 nt
Filed under: Bartonella clarridgeiae
Lineage: Bacteria; Pseudomonadati; Pseudomonadota; Alphaproteobacteria; Hyphomicrobiales; Bartonellaceae
Description: partial ssrA
Rfam family: Alphaproteobacteria transfer-messenger RNA
About the family: Bacterial tmRNA, also known as 10Sa RNA or SsrA, is named for its dual tRNA and mRNA-like properties.
Source: RNAcentral
GUAUAAUCAACAAAGAUUAUAUUUUUAUGGGGGCGAAACAGGAUCGACAAGGGUGUAAAGAUUGCUCUUUUACUCGGCAUUGUACCACCGUUAUCGGGCUAGAUGAAUAGUUGCAAAUGACAACUAUGCGGAGGCACGUCUCAUCGCUGCUUAAGCGAUGCGAAGGCUUCAAAUUAAGUCUUAAACCGUCGCAGGUUUAAGCGGGGUUCGAAGGCACCUGGAAACAGAAGCCGA